GCUUUUGUGCAGUGGCAGUUUCAUAGCCAAUGAUGUUUAUCCAAGGCAUGAUUAUUGCUAAUUAAAAACUUUUCCCGGCUCG
RNAcentral lists this small nuclear RNA (82 nucleotides) under Otolemur garnettii (small-eared galago). RNAcentral's name for it is "U4 spliceosomal RNA". It matches the Rfam family "U4 spliceosomal RNA", at positions 1 to 82 of the family's 138-position model. From Rfam's summary of the family: U4 small nuclear RNA (U4 snRNA) is a component of the major U2-dependent spliceosome. The structure of U4 snRNA from yeast and human has been reported. Lineage: Eukaryota; Metazoa; Chordata; Mammalia; Primates; Galagidae. The record is from Rfam by way of RNAcentral.